GGAGGAGACACCUCCAUCCAACACACAGCCCAUGCAGGAGCCAAGGAAGGAACCAGAAGCGACCGCUCUGAGCACGAGAGGGGGCUGCGUGGGGCCGAAGUCCAGGUGAUUCAGCGCUCUGCCCACUCUCAAGACAGCUCGAUGCCAAAGUGCAGACCUGGGGGCUGAGGAAGCGUCCCUUCUAAACCUCCAACUCUGCAGCCCCCCGCGGGGCUCUCGUCCAGUCCCUUCCACCCUAGGGCUCCGCGGGACUCGGGGUGAGCCCUCGUCCACCCCUGGGAACCUGUCCCUUCCCGUCCUCGCGCUCAGCAUCCCUCCCAGGCCACGAGGAAAAAACCUGAAGAGCUGAGGGAGGGGCUGACUGGAAAGUGAGGAGGUCCGCUGACCCCCGCAACCCUCCCCAGGCCACCAAAGGGCUGGGAAGUGGGAAAGGGUCAUAAGCCGAUGGCGUCCGCACGGUGAGCCCAAGAGCACUCAGAGGCCUAGGCCUCCCCAGGCAGGGCAGAGGGGCCCGGGCCACCCGGUGCGAGCAGCCCCAGGAAGGGUGUGUAAACCGAAUACCUGCAAACUGAACACCUCAGGCCUCCCACCUCCCUGGACGGACCCAGGACAUGGAGUGGCGUCCAGCAGACCACAUCACGCAGGCUUCUCAAUUUAUGGAGAUUCAUUUCUGUUUUUGUUUUGUAUGGGGGGAUUAAACCCAGGGGCUUCACACCAAGCUACAUCCCAGCCCUUUCUCUUUUUUCUUGCUUUUUAAAAUUUUAAAACAGAGUCUCGCUAAGUUGCUAAAUUGUCUAGGCUGGGCUCAAACCUGUGAUCUUCCUGCCUCAGCCUCCCAGAAUGCUGGGAUUACAAACAUGCACUGCUGUGCCCAGUUUAAAU
Molecule: long non-coding RNA, 882 nt
Filed under: Fukomys damarensis (Damara mole-rat)
Lineage: Eukaryota; Metazoa; Chordata; Mammalia; Rodentia; Bathyergidae
Description: lncRNA (ENSFDAG00000026899.1)
Source: RNAcentral